AGUCGAACGGCGGUGCAUGACUUCUUGGUCUGCGGCGGAGCAUAACGGUGAGUAAUGUAUCGGAACGCCUAGUAGCGGAUAACUACGCGAAAGUAGGUUAUUACCGCAUGACAUACCUUCGGGGAAAGUGGGGACCUUCGGGCCUCGCACUAUUAGAGCGGCCGAUAUCGGAUUAGCUAGUUGGUGGGGUAACGGCUCACCAAGGCGACGAUCCGUAGCUGGUUUGAGAGACGACCAGCCACACUGACUGACACGGCCCAGACUCCUACGGAGGCAGCAGUGGGGAAUUUGACAAUGGGGGAAACCUCAUCCAGCCAUCCUGCGUGCGAUGAAGGCCUUCGGGUUGUAAAGCACUUUGGUAGGAAAGAACGACACGGGAUAAUACCCCGUGCAACUGACGGUACCCGCAGAAUAAGCACCGCUAACUACGUGCCAGCAGCUGCGGUAAUGAUGUAGGUGCAAGCGUUAAUCGGAAUUUUAUUGGGCGUAAGCGUGCGCAGGCGGUUCGGAAAGAAAGAUGGAACCCCGGUAGAGCUUAACAUCCCUGAACUGCAUUUUACCCAUUGAGUUGCCAGAGUGGCCAGAGGGAGGUGGUUCCGCGCAGGCAGUGAAAUGGCAGAUAUGCGGAGGAACACCGAUGGCGAAGGCAGCCUCCUGGGAGCAACACUUUGACGCUCACGAGGCAAGCGUGGGGAGCAAACAGGAUUAGAUACUCCUGGUAGUCCACGCCCUAAACGAUGUCAAUUUUAGCUGUUGGGGCCUUCGGCCUUUGGUAGCGCAGCUAACAGGUGAAGCGCUGACCGCCCAGAGCAUACCAAGACAAAUCUCAAAGGAAUUGACGGGGACCCGCACAAGCGGUGGAUGAUGUGAUUAAUUCGAUGCAACGCGAAAACCAUCACUCCUUGAUAUGUCUGGAAUCCCGAAGAGAUUUGGAGUGCUCGCAUAGAGCUAACGACAGGCGUUGUACGCAGCUGUCGUCAUCGUAAAUGAGAUGUUGGGUUAAGUCCCGCAACGAGCGCAACCUUGUCAUUAGUUGCUACGAAAGGGCACUCAUAUUUGACUGCCGGUGACAAACCGGAGGAAGGUGGGGAUGACGUCAAGUCCUCAUGGCCCUUGCGGUAGGGCUUCACACGUCAUACACUUGUCGGGACAGAGGGCUGCUGGGUCCGCGCAGGGAGCCAACUCAGAACCUGAUCAGGUCCGGAUCGCAGUUCAAAUCUCGACCCAGUAGUCGGAAUCGCUAGUAAUCGCGGAUCAGCAUGUCGCAGGAAUAUUGUUCCUUCGGGUCUUGUACACACUGCCCGUCACACCAUGGGAGUGGGUUUUACCAGAAGUAGUUAGGGUCAAUCAAGGGCGGACACGGCUGUAGGACCACGAUCAAAGGUGAAGUCAACAAGGUAG
Molecule: ribosomal RNA, 1401 nt
Filed under: uncultured Bordetella sp.
Lineage: Bacteria; Pseudomonadati; Pseudomonadota; Betaproteobacteria; Burkholderiales; Alcaligenaceae
Description: partial 16S-23S ribosomal RNA intergenic spacer
Rfam family: Bacterial small subunit ribosomal RNA
Source: RNAcentral